UGAGCUACCUGCAUCCUCACCGGCCA
This 26-nucleotide non-coding RNA is filed under the name Rattus norvegicus (Norway rat). Lineage: Eukaryota; Metazoa; Chordata; Mammalia; Rodentia; Muridae. The record is from RNAcentral.